CUACGGGGGGCAGCAGGCGAGAAAACUUUGCAAUGUGCGAAAGCACGACAAGGUUAAUCCGAGUGGUUUGUGCUAAACGAACCUUUUGACUGUCCUAGAAACUCUGUUGAAUAAGGGGUGGGCAAGUUCUGGUGUCAGCCGCCGCGGUAAAACCAGCACCUCAAGUGGUCAGGAUGAUUAUUGGGCCUAAAGCAUCCGUAGCCGGCUCUGUAAGUUUUCGGUUAAAUCUGUACGCUCAACGUACAGGCUGCCGGGAAUACUGCAGAGCUAGGGAGUGGGAGAGGUAGACGGUACUCGGUAGGAAGGGGUAAAAUCCUUUGAUCUAUUGAUGACCACCUGUGGCGAAGGCGGUCUACCAGAACACGUCCGACGGCGAGGGAUGAAAGCUGGGGGAGCAAACCGGAUUAGAUACCCGAGUAGUC
Molecule: ribosomal RNA, 422 nt
Filed under: uncultured archaeon
Lineage: Archaea
Description: partial 16S ribosomal RNA
Rfam family: Archaeal small subunit ribosomal RNA
Source: RNAcentral